UCUAUGUGGAACAGAAAGAAGCUGCUGUGGUUUGGAUGUGUUCUCCAAAACGUAUGUACUGGAAAGCCAACCCUCAACAUGCGGUGGGACGUUUAACAAGUGAUUAGGCCAUGAGGACAGAGCCACUAUCAUGAGAGUGGGUUGGUUAUUACGUGUUGGCCCCUGGAUCUUGGACUUUCCAGCCUUGAGAAUGACUGUUUUAGUGGAAAAGCAGCAGCACCACCAGAUCCAAGAUGGCGGCCAACAGGAGGCUGAUGAAGGAGCUUGAAGAAAUCCUCAAAUGUGGAAUGAAAAACUUCUGUAACAUCCAGGUUGAUGAAGUUAAUUUAGUGACUUGGCUUGGGCUUACUGUUCCUGACAACCCUCCAUAUGACAAAGGGACCUUCAGAAUUGAAAUCAACUUUCCAGCAGUGUACCCAUUCAAACCACCGAAGAUCACAUUUAAAACAAAGAUCACACCAACAUUGAUGAAAAGGGGUGGGUCUGUCUGCCAGUAAUUAGUGCUGAAAACUGGAAGCUAGCAACCAAAGCUGACCAAGUAAUCCAGUCCCUCAUAACACUGGUGAACGACCCCCCAGCCCAAGCACCCCCUCCAGCUGACUUAGCUGAAGAAUACUAUAAAAAAUUCUGUAAGAACGCCGACAUGUUUACAAAGAAAUAUGGAGAAAAGUGACCUGUGGACUAAAAUCUGCCAUGAUUGAUUCCAGCAAGUGUGAGCAGAGACCUGGCGCAGGGCACUCAGACACCCCGCAAAGCAGGACUCUGUGGAAAAUUGACAUGUGCCACCACCUGGUGUUCGCUCGUGGCAGUUACUAACUUUCUACAGUUUUCUUAAUCAAAAGUGGUCUAGGUAACCUGUAAAGAAAGCAUUAAAAAUUU
Long non-coding RNA from Tupaia belangeri chinensis (Chinese tree shrew), 879 nucleotides. RefSeq lists it as uncharacterized. NCBI's taxonomy places the organism in Eukaryota, Metazoa, Chordata, Mammalia, Scandentia, Tupaiidae. The record is from RefSeq and is a predicted model, not a curated record. The transcript has 3 exons.